UACAGAGGGCGCGAGCGUUAAUCGGCAUUACUGGGCGUAAAGCGCACGUCGGUGGCGACGUAAGUCGGGUGUGAAAGCCCCGGGCUCAACCUGGGAAUUGCAUUCGAGACUGCAUUGCUGGAGUACGGAAGAGGAGGGCGGAAUUCCCGGUGUAGCGGUGAAAUGCGUAGAUAUCGGGAGGAACAUCAGUGGCGAAGGCGGCCCUCUGGUCCAGUACUGACACUCAAGUGCGAAAGCGUGGGGAGCAAACAGG
This 253-nucleotide ribosomal RNA is filed under the name uncultured bacterium. RNAcentral describes it as "partial 16S ribosomal RNA". It matches the Rfam family "Bacterial small subunit ribosomal RNA", at positions 524 to 776 of the family's 1533-position model. The record is from RNAcentral.